ACAAAAUGCCGCAGGAUUACAUGAAAUCAGAAAUGUAUCUCGUCAAGUGGUUGCGAACCAGCAAUUUCCACAUAGUUGCGGCGGAAGAGAGACUAUUUCAGCACUUGGAGUGGAGAAAAGAGCGUGGAAUUGAUGAUUUAGACCUGAAAUCGGAAUUUUUAGAUGACGACAUACGGUUUUACCUAGAUGGGAGGGAUAAACUCGGGCG
Molecule: long non-coding RNA, 208 nt
Organism: Folsomia candida
Lineage: Eukaryota; Metazoa; Arthropoda; Collembola; Entomobryomorpha; Isotomidae
Exons: 3
Source: RefSeq, a predicted model, not a curated record